RNAcentral lists this ribosomal RNA (254 nucleotides) under uncultured bacterium. RNAcentral describes it as "partial 16S ribosomal RNA". It matches the Rfam family "Bacterial small subunit ribosomal RNA", at positions 524 to 776 of the family's 1533-position model. The record is from RNAcentral.
UACGUAGGUGGCAAGCGUUGUCCGGAUUUACUGGGCGUAAAGAGCGCGCAGGCGGUCGUUCAAGUCGCGUGUGAAAGCCCCCGGCUCAACUGGGGAGGGUCACGCGAUACUGAUCGACUCGAAGGCAGGAGAGGGUAGUGGAAUUCCCGGUGUAGUGGUGAAAUGCGUAGAUAUCGGGAGGAACACCAGUGGCGAAGGCGACUACCUGGCCUGUUUCUUGACGCUGAGGCGCGAAAGCUAGGGGAGCAAACAGG